AAAAUUACAUAUUUCUUAUAAUCAAGGGACCAAAUUGCAAUUCUCCCACUUCUUUUUAUUUUUCCGCUAUGUAAAAGAAACAUGAAAUAUCUCCCCCGGCCAACCAUCUCUAUAAAUAUCCCAUUUCCUUCGCGCCAUUCCAUUUCAAAUGUUCAUUCUCACAGAAUCGCAGGCGACGUUCUCUUCGAGAUUCCUUUUCUAGAAUUUUCUUCUCCGAUACAGUUUCUUACUCAACACGAAAACGAAAAGCUAAGUUCACAGAGCCGAUCGCUUCGAUGUUUUCGAUUUCUAGGGUUUUACAUCCUUGCUUUGUGAUCGAUUAGGCCACAAAAUCAACGUAGAAGGAUUCCUACGUCGUGUAUAUUGGGAAAUUCGGCGAUUAUUUGUGUUUUAUUAGAAAAUGAGUAAGCUUUUAGGAUUAUCAGGCAUGAAAGGCCGCGAUCACUUCAAAUCGCUGGCCGGAGCUGGUUUAGGAGCUGCGAAAGCCAUGCCGAUAACGACGCGCAUGUCCGCUGACAUGGUUUCUUCUGGAAGUUUUGCGAAUUUGAAGCUUACAGCAGAGAAAUUGGUGAAGGAGCAAGCUUCUGCUAAAACUGAUCUGCAAUUGGCGAACUCUAAAUUGAAGAAGUUGAUUGAAGAUAUUCAUAUGCUGGAAGAAAAGUUGCAAAAUGCGUACAAUGAAAAUGCUAAGUUGAAAGUGAAGCAGAAAGAAGACGAGAAGCUUUGGAAAGGGCUGGAAUCUAAAUUUUCUUCAACAAAGACUUUGUGUGAUCAGCUAACUGAAACUUUACAGCACCUAGCUGGUGUGGUUCAGGAUGCUGAAAAAGACAAGGCAUCUUUUGAAGAUAGACGAUCUGCAACUUCUGUUGUUAUUGAUAACUUGCAGGACAACAUUAAAGCCCUCUCUUUGAGGCUGGAAUCCUCUGAAGAAACUGUUAGAAAUUGUAAAAGGGAGCUGAAUGAACUCGGUAUCGAGAAGGAGAAAAUGGAGAACUCUUUCAGGGUUGAACAGAGCAAAAGUAUCAGUGUAAUUGAGGAGAAAGAUGCCACGAUCAAGGAAUUCGAAGCUACUGUAGCAGCUAAUGGACUUGCAGUGGAGAAUUUGAAGUCCAAGUUGGAAGAAUUACAUCUCGAAUCAAGAUUAAAAGAAGAUGAACUGGAGGACUUGAGGAAUGUCAAAAAGAAUUUGGAUAAAGAAAGAAGUGAUUUGGUAUCUAGAAAUAGCAACUUUGCCAAACAAUUAGAUACAUCACUUCAGGAGAUAAAGAACCUUAAUGAGUUUGUGAAUCAAAUGGUGAUAAAGUUUACUCAUUUGGAUAGUCAAAGUCUCGCCUUUGCGGAGAAGAUAGUUCAGCUUAAUGCUUUAUUUGACGCUGGAUUUGAAAUGAUGAGAGAGAAGGGGGAACUUGCUGCUCGGCAUGCUCAACGAAAGUUUGACAAGCUCCAGGAUCAAUAUACAAGCGUUAUAUCAGAGAAAAAUUCUCUAAAGUUAGCUAAUAAGGACUUGAAGGACAAAGUCUCUGCACUUCAGAACGAGCAGGAAUGUGCAAUGGUGCAGCAUGCUGAAGAAUCCCGUUUAGCAGAAGAUCGGAUUAGAAAAUUAGAGUCUGAAGCAGAACUGCUUCUUUCCAAGAAGAUGGAGAUGGAAGUGCUGAUUAGCAAGCUGCAGGAGAAUGUUGUCGCUUUAUCAGAAAAUUCAAAACUAUCGGAGAAUGAAAUGCAAAAUUUAUUGGUGAAACUCUCUGAGAUGGAAACAGAUAACAAGGACCAUAUUGAAAAGCUUCAAUCAGACAUGCAGAAAAAGGAAGAUGAAAUCCAUAUUUUACGCAAGGAAAUUGACAAGUACACAGAAACAGUGGAAUCACUGGAGAAGCAUGUUGCAGAGAUUAACAAUAAAUUGGAGGAGAAAGAUAAGCUUGUUCAGGAACUUCAGGACAGGCAGAAACAAUUGGAAGCUGAGAGAGAAAAGAUUCAAGCAUCUUUGCUUGCUGCUGAAAGCAACCUUGCAGAAGCUAAAAAGCAGCAUGAUCAGAUGUUAGAAAGCAAACAACUAGAACUUUCUAGGCAUUUAAAGGAAUUAUCUCAGAAAAAUGAUCAGGCCAUCAGUGACAUCCGGAGGAAGUAUGACUUGGAGAAGUUGGAAAGUAUCAAUCUAGAGAAGGAGAAGGCUGAAAAAAUUAUUGGAGAGAUGGAAAGAAACUGUGAGUUAAAGCUGUUGGAAUACAGAGAAGAAUCUAAUCAGAACUUGAAGCAUGUACAGGAAGAACAUGCUGCUUUGGUAUGUCAUAUUCAACAAGAACACAGCAAGAAGGAAAUGAGUCUUGUUUCCAGUCACAAUGAAGAGCUAAAACGUGUCCGACUUCAGUAUGAAAAUGAACUGAGAGAAAAAACAAGUUCAAUGAGGAAUGAGCAUGAAGCUCAGUUAAGAGCUCUGAGACUUGAGCUUGAGGAUGAAUGCAGAAGACUGCAGGAGGAGUUGGAUAUGCUGAAGUCUAAAGAGGAGAAACAGAGGGCUCUGUUGCAGUUGCAAUGGAAAGUAAUGGGAAAUAAUCCGGAAGAGGAAGAAGUGACUUCAAAGAAGAAGCACUCUGGGUCAUUGACCAAAAGAAACCAAUCUGAUAGUUGCAAAAAGGGCCAGCUUGCACCGGUGAGAGCUGAAGCUAAGGAUGUGGAUGCACAUUAUCUGGAAGGAAGUCAAACACCUGUAUCAAAUUUGUUGAGGAAAGUGGAGAAGGUGAAUACAGGAAGUGUUAUUAGUAUGCCCAAACAUAGUAGGAAGGUGACUCAUCAUGAAUAUGAAGUUGAAACCACAAAUGGCAGAACAAUCACAAAACGAAGAAAAACGAAAAGCACAGUCAUGUUUGAUGUACGUAAAAUUGAAUCCUUAGCAGCAUUGCUGGCCAUUGUUACCAGAUUCAAUCUGUCAGUUUCUAGACUUCUGGCCCGCCAAUGUACGAUGAGCCUAAACUUUAUAUUACUGAUUAUGAAAGGAUCCAUCAAAGAACAAGAAGAAAAGGACACCAAAAGUGAAGACUCCCAGAGAGGUUAUCAGGAGCAUUAAAGGAGGAAGUCAUCCAAAACCUGCAAACAUAGGUGAUUUAUUCUCGGAAGGAUCUCUGAAUCCAUAUGCUGAUGAUCCCUAUGCGUUUGGCUAGAGGUGAAGAUGUCCCACUCCAGUGCAGAGCUUCCUAGAGAAUCUGAAACUUUGACCUGGAAAUGUGUGUGCGCUGAUUCUUUGAUUGCAGACGUAUAGCUGGCUGCUUUCCACAUUGCAAGGAACUAGAAUUUUACUUCCCCCAAAAAUAAAACUGUAUAUAACUGCAAUUAAUGUGUGAAAAAAAUUCUGGGAGAAAUAAUGUGAUUAGAGCUCGGUUGGAGAGGACGUGCACCAGUGUAAAGUCACCAGUUGCGUAGAGCUACAUUUAUUUUUGUUAUGUGCUUCCAAACUGCAUUAGCUUAGCUUUUGUUGUACUUAAUCUUUGAUUGUGGUUUUUUUAA
RNA transcript from Nicotiana tabacum (common tobacco), 3498 nucleotides. It is a transcript of the gene named synaptonemal complex protein 1, with no coding region annotated. NCBI's taxonomy places the organism in Eukaryota, Viridiplantae, Streptophyta, Magnoliopsida, Solanales, Solanaceae. The record is from RefSeq and is a predicted model, not a curated record.